AGUAAUGUCUGGGAAACUGCCUGAUGGAGGGGGGUAACUACUGGAAACGGUAGCUAAUACCGCAUAACGUCGCAAGACCAAAGUGGGGGGACCUUCGGGGCCUCAUGCCAUCAGAUGUGCCCAGAUGGGAUUAGCUAGUAGGUGGGGUAACGGCUCACCUAGGCGACGAUCCCUAGCUGGUCUGAGAGGAUGACCAGCCACACUGGAACUGAGACACGGUCCAG
RNAcentral lists this ribosomal RNA (224 nucleotides) under uncultured bacterium. Its description in RNAcentral is "partial 16S ribosomal RNA". It matches the Rfam family "Bacterial small subunit ribosomal RNA", at positions 109 to 334 of the family's 1533-position model. The record is from RNAcentral.